GGGGCUGUCAAGGUUUCGACAGGUUAAUGUUUGAUUCGGGUGGCAGUGGAGUGAUGACCUAAUCAUCAAACAAAUUAAACGCAAAUACAAAUAGAAGCGCAAGCUUCGCAUUCGCUGCUUAAUUUAACGCUAGAGGCGUUCGCAGCGCCCUAUUGGAAGAGUAGCCGUCUUCUUUCAAUAGUGUAAAAAAACGGAUACGAGGAAUAAUAACCUAGCUUAUUCCUUCGACAAUGAAUAGGUAAAUUCGAAUAUAUUUUGGUGACUUUAAAAGUAUUCGUCUUAUGACAAAGUAACUAAACUGUAGAGGCUCGAAUGUGGGACUUCUCUUGGACAGGGGUUCGACUCCCCUCAGCUCCACUA
Bulleidia extructa W1219 is the source of this 360-nucleotide non-coding RNA. It matches the Rfam family "transfer-messenger RNA". From Rfam's summary of the family: Bacterial tmRNA, also known as 10Sa RNA or SsrA, is named for its dual tRNA and mRNA-like properties. Its role is to liberate the mRNA from a stalled ribosome. NCBI's taxonomy places the organism in Bacteria, Bacillati, Bacillota, Erysipelotrichia, Erysipelotrichales, Erysipelotrichaceae. The record is from Rfam.